UAGGGGAUGAAAAGUGACAUGAUGUGAAGGCUGAUUUGGAAGAAAUGGGGAUUAUGGAAGACAACCUUGUCUGUGCAUGCUUUGGAAGGGAGUCAUUGUAUAGAUACAAUAAGGAUGCUGGGGACUCAUAAAAAUAGGCAGCUGGUGGUAUUAAUUGAUAGUGGUAGCACUACUAGUUUCCUUGAUAAAAGAGUGGCUUUGGACUUGAAAUUAAAAUUUAGUGAAGAUUCAUUCUACAGCUGUUACAGAGGCUGAUGGUAGAAAAUUGAGUUGUGAACACAUGA
This 284-nucleotide unclassified non-coding RNA is filed under the name Hevea brasiliensis (rubber tree). Lineage: Eukaryota; Viridiplantae; Streptophyta; Magnoliopsida; Malpighiales; Euphorbiaceae. The record is from RNAcentral.